Dicentrarchus labrax (European seabass) is the source of this 482-nucleotide long non-coding RNA. RefSeq lists it as uncharacterized. The transcript is spliced from 2 exons. Lineage: Eukaryota; Metazoa; Chordata; Actinopteri; Moronidae. The record is from RefSeq and is a predicted model, not a curated record.
CCUCAGGCUUCCCCAGCUGCACACUGUUCAUUUGCUCAGUUUAAUGAGGAUAAAAAAAGAGAGAGAUCUUUACAGGAAUCUGCACUGCUGGGCGAGAAGAUUCUUGGAACUGUGGUGCUAUCCAGUGAACCAGCCCUCGUUUCCAGCCGUUCUGAGUGGGACCAAAGUAAUCGGACACAAACUGAGGGCACCGCAACACGACCCGUAGACACGCCCACUUUGGUUCCCGAGGAAAACGUUGCUGUUUUUGGUUCCCAACUUUUCAGGAUCCGAACUAAUUUAUUUUUGGUCGAAAUCCUCCGAACGUUUGAAAACGAGGUGAUUGACAGCCAGCUAAAUAUAUUUGUCUUCAACACAAAAAGGAUUUGUUUUAGUCAGUGUAAUUCUGAAAUGAAUGUUUUUGUUCUGUUCACUGUAUAUUGUAUAUUUACUGUAAAACAAUUAAAAGCAGGGUCCCGAUAAGAUGCAGGUCCUCUUCACUA